Molecule: long non-coding RNA, 136 nt
Organism: Rhagoletis zephyria (snowberry fruit fly)
Lineage: Eukaryota; Metazoa; Arthropoda; Insecta; Diptera; Tephritidae
Source: RefSeq, a predicted model, not a curated record
UUAAAAUAAUGGGUAGACCCUUGGCUACAAGUGUGUGCAAUUUUUUUUGGAUCGGGUCACCCCUUUGGACGCAAUACCCCGAAAUAGGUGGGCCACUUACUAAACAGUACCCGGAAAAAUUUUUGCAUCAACUUUU